This 337-nucleotide long non-coding RNA is filed under the name Vigna radiata. RNAcentral's name for it is "long non-coding RNA (VRAD_LNC003533)". Lineage: Eukaryota; Viridiplantae; Streptophyta; Magnoliopsida; Fabales; Fabaceae. The record is from RNAcentral.
GAGCAAGCUUAGAAUCGGUCAAAAAGGCACCAGAAGGAGGGAAAACAUGCAGCCCGGGCGACCAGGAGCGUAGCUGAAGCGAGAAAAAUCGACGUCCGCCGCCCGGGCGGUGGAUCUCGACGCUCGGGCGGUUCUGGUUCGUAGCCAUGGCGUCCAAAUCUGAUGCCCAAGCCCAACAUGACUCUCAAUUCACACCUGGGCGACCUCCCUACGACGCCUGAGCGUGAUUUCAUGUGGAUCAGGCCCUGUUUCUACUUUGUUUUGAUUCUUUUGGACCGGGCCUCACUUUGGAGCACUUCUGAAACUAUUUAAAGGAUCCUGGGGCUCUAGGUUUUGC